This 253-nucleotide ribosomal RNA is filed under the name uncultured bacterium. Its description in RNAcentral is "partial 16S ribosomal RNA". It matches the Rfam family "Bacterial small subunit ribosomal RNA", at positions 524 to 776 of the family's 1533-position model. The record is from RNAcentral.
UACGAAGGGUGCAAACGUUGCUCGGAAUUAUUGGGCGUAAAGCGCACGUAGGCGGCUUUGCAAGUCCCAUGUGAAAUCCCACGGCUCAACCGUGGAAGUGCAUGGGAAACUGCAGAGCUUGAGUACUUAAGAGGAUCGCGGAAUUCCCGGUGUAGAGGUGAAAUUCGUAGAUAUUCGGAAGAACACCAGUGGCGAAGGCGGCUCACUGGCCCGGUACUGACGCUGAGGUGCGAAAGCGUGGGGAGCAAACAGG